This 1943-nucleotide long non-coding RNA is filed under the name Callithrix jacchus (white-tufted-ear marmoset). RNAcentral describes it as "lncRNA (ENSCJAG00000069723.1)". Lineage: Eukaryota; Metazoa; Chordata; Mammalia; Primates; Cebidae. The record is from RNAcentral.
AUAAGUGAAAUCCUCCUUCAAUGAAGAUUUCUGUGUGGUUGCAGGUACCUAAGCCUGAAGUGGGCAAUCACAAUAUAGGUCAAACAUUUCAUAUUAAGAGGUGAAUUCGACAAUGUCAGAAUUGACCAGCAGCCUCAGAUUUUACCCAAACCAGCAAGGUUUGGUAUCAGAGAAGAAAAUUCACUCCAGAUAGUUUGAGUAACAUGAAAUUAUGAUCCUAUGUUCUGGGUUAAAUAGUGUCCUUCCAAAAUUCAUGUCCACCCAGAACCCCAGAACAAUUUACAUUGAUUCAGAAAUAACGUCUUUGAAUAUGUAAUUCGUUAUUUAUAAAAGAUCAUACUGUAUUAGAAUGGGCCUUGGGUUCAGUGACUAGGGUCCUUUAAUGGGAAAAAUAAAAAAAAAAAAAAAAAAAAAAAAGGAGCGGGGAGAAAGGUAUCAGAGCAUUAUAAAAAUCACAUUUCAGAAUCCUAAUGUCCACUUCAAGGUGCAGUCUUCUUGGGUAAACAUGCAGUCUGUUUGCAUUUAAUUCUUCCACACAAGCCCUGCAAGAAAGUUAGCCAAAUUGAUAAUCGAUUCACAUGAUCUUUGCUCGCUCAUUUAUUAAAACACACCAAACAGUUAAUUCCCUUUUCUGUUGGGAGCUCUCACUGGUUUUACAUGGCUUGAAUGUUAAACAGCCACUCAGGGCUCUAGGAAAAUAGCAGAGCCAUUAAAUGGUAACGGUUUCAAACUGUUCAAAACGAGUAUUAGAAAUUAAGGGCCUCAAUGUCCCUUCAAUAAAAUUACUUUGGUGAAUAUUUAUUGAACUGACAGUGGACAGAUAAUAAAGAAGUUCUAGGCUGUAACUCCAGUGCUUUGGAGGCUAAGUAGGGAGGAUCACUUAAGGCCAGGAGUUUGAGACCAGCCUGAGCAAGACAGAAAGAUCCUAUUUCUAAAAACUAAAAACUAAAAAAAAAAAAAAAAAAAAAAAGUUAAAUUAGCCAGACAUGGUAGCUACUUGGGAAGUUAAGAUGGAAGAAUCACUUGAACCCAAGAGCUCAAGGUUACCAUGAGCCAUGAUCACCCACUGUACUCCAGCCUGGGCAACACAGCCUGACCCUGUUUCAAAAAAAAAAAAAAAGUGGAUUGGUCAACUAAAGAUCUUGAAAGAUCUCAAAAAACUCCAAUUUAGAUGACUAAUCCACUUUGUUUUUCCUACUUUUUCUACUUGAAUAAAAGAAGAAAGAGGAGUUUUUGAAUACCCUUCACUUCUCCAGCUAUGGUAUGAGCCCAUAGACAUAUUGGCCAAUACCUUACUAAUACACUAAUUCCCCACCAAGAGCCUCUAUGUCUAGACAGAAAGAUAGAUAUCUAGCUGAUCAUAGAUAGAUAGACAGACAGAUAGACAAACAGACCGACAGAUAGACAGAGAGAGAGAGAGAGAGAGAGAGAGAGAGAGAGAGAGAGAGAGAGAGAUGAUAGCUUUUACAUACAGAUAUAGAUGAUAUGGAUAUAGAUAGAUAGCAUCCUCCUCUUUAGCCUGGUCCAGAGGCUAAUAUCAGGGACACUAAGUAAACUGAGGCACUGGAAGGAAACCGAUAGAUUAUAAGACUCUAUAGGCCAAUCCUUUCUCUUUACCUAUGAGGACUUUGGGCUUCAGUAAUUAUUUUCUGGCCACACUAUGACUCUAACCCAAGUUUUUCAACUCCUAGGGUGAUGCUCCAAUCCUCUUGCCCAUGGAGCUUUUCUAAAAUGCUUGAUUUUCCUACCUCACUGCAGUACAUGUGUUAGACUUUUCCCUGACACUUAAGUUCUUUUAUUUUAUGAUUUUAUUUUUCACUCACUUGUUCAUUGUACAAUCGUUGAUGGAGAUCCUAUUGUAUGCCAUGCAUUGCUGUAAGGCCUUAGGAACGUCAAAGUAAAUUAAUACUUUUAAUUUACUGAUUGAUAGGGAAUAUAGAUAG